CAGAGUUCAUGCCCUUCGGGGUCUUCUAUACCACCCUUUGUUUAUUACACCUUUGUUGCUUUGGCAGGCCUGCCCUCGGGCUGCUGGCUCCGGCCGGCGAGCGCCUGCCAGAGGACCUAAACUCUGUUUGUCUAUAAUGUCUGAGUACUAUAUAAUAGUUA
Molecule: unclassified non-coding RNA, 161 nt
Filed under: uncultured Pseudogymnoascus
Lineage: Eukaryota; Fungi; Ascomycota; Leotiomycetes; Myxotrichaceae
Description: sequence contains ITS1
Source: RNAcentral